GUCCUGGGUAGCCUAGUGGACAUGGCACCUGCCCGGUAAGCAGAGGGUUGUGGGUUCGAUUCCCGCCCCUGGACA
Molecule: transfer RNA, 75 nt
Filed under: Cordylochernes scorpioides
Lineage: Eukaryota; Metazoa; Arthropoda; Arachnida; Pseudoscorpiones; Chernetidae
Description: tRNA-Thr
Rfam family: tRNA
About the family: Transfer RNA (tRNA) molecules are approximately 80 nucleotides in length. Their secondary structure includes four short double-helical elements and three loops (D, anti-codon, and T loops). Further hydrogen bonds mediate the characteristic L-shaped molecular structure. tRNAs have two regions of fundamental functional importance: the anti-codon, which is responsible for specific mRNA codon recognition, and the 3' end, to which the tRNAs corresponding amino acid is attached (by aminoacyl-tRNA synthetases). tRNAs cope with the degeneracy of the genetic code in two manners: having more than one tRNA (with a specific anti-codon) for a particular amino acid; and 'wobble' base-pairing, i.e. permitting non-standard base-pairing at the 3rd anti-codon position.
Source: RNAcentral